UGCAAAUAAGUUUUAAAAGCAUAAAGUUUGAAGGCAAUACAGUCUGUCAGAGAUAGAUAGUUGCUAUGCGGUUGCUAGGGUUUCUGGGGGGUUGCUAAGGCAUUACUAUCCAGUUGCUAUUUACUUGGGGUGGUUGUUAGGGUGUUGCUAUGUUUUGAAUACAAAAUAGACUGAAUUUAACAGAUAACAUUUAUGUCAGUUUAAUUGUUUUUAUAACAACAUACACAAAUCAUAACUUGAUUUUUGCAAGAAUUGUAAACCAAUGCUCUACGGUUAACAGUGAUUUUUGAUGUUUCCUCCUGCUCAUGUUUUAUGAACCCGUUCUGCAUGAUGUCAUGAAAGUCUUUCAGCAUAAUGUAUAUUACAAAGGCAGAGAGGAAACAAUUAUUUGUAUUAUUAUAUUAAAGUUCCUAAACAUUUUUAUAUUUUUCUUUACCACAGAAGCUCUGUCAGUUACGUUGAGACUGAUGAAUCCCCAAUCUUCCACAAUCGACUUCACAUAGGAUGAACUGUUUCCAGUUUCAGCAAAGCAGCAAGGAUGACUACACCUUAGAACUCUUCACUAACACUGCCUGCCUCACCUGGGCCACAGAGAAAACAAUGUUACUGCCUGUAAAUGGCACAAUUAACCUUUAACCUUACAGAUGAAUCAAUGCAGUAACACUGUUAUAUACCAUUGACAUUGUACCAAAUAUUCAGACUGAAUAUACAGAGGAGAACUGGUCCCCAGUGUUUUUGGUGAGCCUAGUUUCUCCAAAGGUUUUGUUUUUACUCCAGUAUCAGCAUUUUAAAGAUUUUUCUUUCUUUUUUUUAGCACUGUUGCCUUUGGCUUGCUUGCUGUAUGUAUGAAGACUAAAGCAUUUAUCACCAACUAUUAAAACCAUAGGCCAUGUAGCAACUCCGGCUAGUGGAUUAGCACGCACGCGACCAAACACACAGACGGAUGAGAGAGAGGCUGGAGAGAUACAGGGAUACAGAUGAUGCUGAGAUCAUUGCACUUUCUGCUGCGAUUGUUGACCUAUUCCACUGCCUCCUCCUCCCCACUGCCAAGUGUGGCCAUCAGCACCUUCAUUUGAGGUGCCAUUGAUGCUUUGGCUCUCUAUUCAGGUCAUUGCAUCCUGUGAUAUUGUUGUAGUCUUGCACUGUCUCCUUGCCAAGUGUUGCCAUCAGCACCAUUUAAAGGAGAUAUUGAUACUUUGGCUCUCUAUAUGCAAAUUCAGAUCUGCUUCUAACCCUUACGCAACUACGCCUAGCUUGCUUAGCAUCUUUGAAAAAAAAGGCCAGAACCCU
Long non-coding RNA from Carassius auratus (goldfish), 1290 nucleotides. RefSeq lists it as uncharacterized. The record is from RefSeq and is a predicted model, not a curated record. NCBI's taxonomy places the organism in Eukaryota, Metazoa, Chordata, Actinopteri, Cypriniformes, Cyprinidae. The transcript is spliced from 9 exons.